GCCUCCACUUCACAUUUGCGCCU
Molecule: non-coding RNA, 23 nt
Filed under: Arabidopsis thaliana (thale cress)
Lineage: Eukaryota; Viridiplantae; Streptophyta; Magnoliopsida; Brassicales; Brassicaceae
Source: RNAcentral